GAACGGCCACAUUGGGACUGAGACACGGCCCAAACUCCUACGGGAGGCAGCAGUAGGGAAUUUUCGGCAAUGGAGGAAACUCUGACCGAGCAACGCCGCGUGAACGAUGAAGUAUUUCGGUACGUAAAGUUCUUUUAUUAGGGAAGAAUAAAUGAUGGAAAAAUCAUUCUGACGGUACCUAAUGAAUAAGCCCCGGCUAACUAUGUGCCAGCAGCCGCGGUAAUACAUAGGGGGCAAGCGUUAUCCGGAAUUAUUGGGCGUAAAGGGUGCGUAGGCGGUUAAAUAAGUUUAUGGUCUAAGUGCAAUGCUUAACAUUGUGAUGCUAUAAAAACUGUUUAGCUAGAGUAAGAUAGAGGCAAGUGGAAUUCCAUGUGUAGUGGUAAAAUGCGUAAAUAUAUGGAGGAACACCAGUAGCGAAGGCGGCUUGCUGGGUCUUUACUGACGCUGAGGCACGAAAGCGUGGGGAGCAAACAGGAUUAGAUACCCUGGUAGUCCACGCCGUAAACGAUGAGUACUAAAUGUUGGGUAAAACCAGUGUUGAAGUUAACACAUUAAGUACUCCGCCUGAGUAGUACGUACGCAAGUAUGAAACUUAAAGGAAUUGACGGGACUCCGCACAAGCGGUGGAUCAUGUUGUUUAAUUCGAAGGUACCCGAAAAACCUCACCAGGUCUUGACAUGCUUCUGCAAAGCUGUAGAAACACAGUGGAGGUUAUCAGUUGCACAGGUGGUGCAUGGUUGUCGUCAGCUCGUGUCGUGAGAUGUUGGGUUAAGUCCCGCAACGAGCGCAACCCUUAUUGUUAGUUGCCAGCACGUAAUGGUGGGGACUUUAGCAAGACUGCCAGUGAUAAAUUGGAGGAAGGUGGGGACGACGUCAAAUCAUCAUGCCCCUUAUGACCUGGGCUACAAACGUGAAACAAUGGCUGUUACAAAAGGGGUAGCYUGAAAACACCAAGUUUUUUUGGGSGAAAUCYYCAAAAAAAACCAGGUCYCCAG
This 995-nucleotide ribosomal RNA is filed under the name Cassava witches'-broom aster yellows phytoplasma. Its description in RNAcentral is "bacterial SSU rRNA". It matches the Rfam family "Bacterial small subunit ribosomal RNA", at positions 302 to 1338 of the family's 1533-position model. The record is from RNAcentral. Lineage: Bacteria; Bacillati; Mycoplasmatota; Mollicutes; Acholeplasmatales; Acholeplasmataceae.